AGCGAACGCUGGCGGCAGGCCUAACACAUGCAAGUCGAACGGACCCUUCGGGGUUAGUGGCGGACGGGUGAGUAACACGUGGGAACGUGCCUUUAGGUUCGGAAUAGCUCCUGGAAACGGGUGGUAAUGCCGAAUGUGCCCUUCGGGGGCAAGAUUUAUCGCCUUUAGAGCGUCCCGCGUCUGAUUAGCUCGUUGGGGAGGUAACGGCUCACCAAGGCGACGAUCAGUAGCUGGUCUGGGAGGAUGACCAGCCACACUGGGACUGAGAGACGGCCCAGACUCCUGCGGGAGGCAGCAGUGGGGAAUCUUGCGCAAUGGGCGAAAGCCUGACGCAGCCAUGCCGCGUGAAUGAUGAAGGUCUUAGGGUUGUAAAAUUCCUUCACCGGGGACGAUAAUGACGGUACCCGGAGAAGAAGCCCCGGCUAACUUCGUGCCAGCCGCCGCCGUAA
This 449-nucleotide ribosomal RNA is filed under the name uncultured bacterium. RNAcentral describes it as "partial 16S ribosomal RNA". It matches the Rfam family "Bacterial small subunit ribosomal RNA", at positions 29 to 523 of the family's 1533-position model. The record is from RNAcentral.